AGACGAACUAGUCAACAUGUUGGUCACUACUAAGGGAACCUUAAAGAAUUCAAGGGGUAUUGUUCUCGCUGUGGAACGGACUUCUUCAUCCAAGAGAAAGUUUGGUUGGAAGAAGAAGAGUAAAUCCAUGAAGAAGUAGAAGAAAGAGAGCAAGCCAAAGAAGGAUGUUCUAAAGAAGGCUGAAGCAAAGGAAAAAUAUUUCCACUGUGAUGUUGAAGGCC
RNAcentral lists this long non-coding RNA (221 nucleotides) under Elaeis guineensis (African oil palm). Its description in RNAcentral is "long non-coding RNA (EGUI_LNC058435)". The record is from RNAcentral. Lineage: Eukaryota; Viridiplantae; Streptophyta; Magnoliopsida; Arecales; Arecaceae.